CAGAGGCAUGCUCUGGUGACAGGAGCGGAGGCGCCAACCCAUCGGCGGAGAACAGAGAACCUAUUAUACAGAACAUUCAAUAGGAUUCCUACUAUAAUGGCCGUAGAAACACCCAUGCCACCGCUCCUCUACCCUGUCUCUCUUUGGCAGUCAGCCAAUCGCCAAUCUGAAUCUCUGCGCUGUAUCCAUCGAGAGGCGAAGGGCGCGUGCGGAGAGAGAGCGAGAGAGAGAAAGACUGGAACGGAACCGUCAAAACCCAGAAAUGAGCGCCACCCGCACAGAGAAAAUUUUCUUGUAUAGGGGGUCGUAUUCGGCGCUUCGAAAAAGACGGGGCUGCUCCCGGAAGGGAUUUCGCCAAGAGAGACGUCCAGCUUUCCCAAAUCGCGGUCUCAGAGGCCGUCUCUUGUCUGCAAGCUAACUCUUUCUUCCCAAAGGGAAGAGAAGGUCAGGCGCCGUGGCAUUUUUAUAUGAAAUGUGUCAAAUAAAAAAAAAAAAUCAUUUUUCAUGACGACGUUACACGAAAUACCUAAGGAUAAGCAGAAGGUAGUGUCUAUGAUACUAUCUUUUACGGAUUUGUACAAGGUUUUAUUCGUGACGUCGAAGGCAACGACUGAAGACAUCAACAAGCAGUACAAAAAGCUGUGCAUAUUAGUUCACCCGGAUAGAAAUGACCAUCCGAGAGCAGGUGAUGCAUUCAAGAAAUUGAGUGCAGCUAAGCACGUUUUGACGGACAGGAGGUUGAGAGAACGAUAUGACCGAACAGGCGUAGUAGAUGAGCGUCCGG
Molecule: long non-coding RNA, 784 nt
Organism: Schistocerca gregaria
Lineage: Eukaryota; Metazoa; Arthropoda; Insecta; Orthoptera; Acrididae
Exons: 3
Source: RefSeq, a predicted model, not a curated record